GACGAACGCUGGCGGCGUGCUUAACACAUGCAAGUCGAACGGUGAAGCGCCUUCCUUUUUGGUGGGUGUGGAUGAGUGGCGAACGGGUGAGUAACACGUGAGUAACCUGCCCCCUUCUUCUGGAUAACCGCAUGAAAGUGUGGCUAAUACGGGAUAUUCUGGGUCUGUCGCAUGAUGGGUCUGGGAAAGAUAUUGUUUCGGUGGGGGAUGGGCUCGCGGCCUAUCAGCUUGUUGGUGGGGUGAUGGCCUACCAAGGCGGUGACGGGUAGCCGGCCUGAGAGGGUGGACGGUCACACUGGGACUGAGACACGGCCAAGACUCCUACGGGAGGCAGCAGUGGGGAAUAGUGCACAAUGGGCGCAAGCCUGAUGCAGCGACGCCGCGUGAGGGAUGGAGGCCUUCGGGUUGCGAACCUCUUUCGCCAGUGAAGCAGGACUGCCUCGUGUGUGGGUGGGUUGACGGUAGCUGGAUAAGAAGCGCCGGCUAACUACGUG
This 494-nucleotide ribosomal RNA is filed under the name uncultured bacterium. RNAcentral's name for it is "partial 16S ribosomal RNA". It matches the Rfam family "Bacterial small subunit ribosomal RNA", at positions 28 to 507 of the family's 1533-position model. The record is from RNAcentral.